GACGAACGCUGGCGGCGUGCUUAACACAUGCAAGUCGAACGGAAAGGCCCCUUUGGGGUUCCUCGAGUGGCGAACGGGUGCGUACCACGUGAGUAACCUGCCCUUUACUUCUGGAUAACUUGAGUAAACUGGGGCUAAUACCGGAUAGGAAUCCUUGCUGCAUGGUGGGGGUUGGAAAGCUUCGGCGGUGUUGGAUGGACUCGCGGCUUAUCAGCUGGUUGGUGGGGUAGUGGCUUACCAAGGCUUUGACGGGUAGCCGGACUGUGAGGGCGACCGGCCACAUUGGGACCGAGAGGAGGCACAGACUGCUACGGGUGGCAGAAGGGGGGAAUCUUGAACAAUGGGUGGCGGGCUGAUGAAGAAAGGCCGCGGGUGGGAAGACCGUCUUGUUGUUGAAGAACGCUUUCAGCAGGGGCGAAGCUUGUGGUGACGGUACCUGAAGAAGAAGCACCGGCUAACUACGUG
Molecule: ribosomal RNA, 465 nt
Filed under: uncultured bacterium
Lineage: Bacteria
Description: partial 16S ribosomal RNA
Rfam family: Bacterial small subunit ribosomal RNA
Source: RNAcentral